This 68-nucleotide transfer RNA is filed under the name Marmota monax (woodchuck). RNAcentral describes it as "tRNA.Ala". Lineage: Eukaryota; Metazoa; Chordata; Mammalia; Rodentia; Sciuridae. The record is from RNAcentral.
GGAUGUGGCUCAAGUAGUAAUGCACUCGCCUGGCAUGCGUGGGUUCCUGGGUUCGAUCCUCAGCACCA